UCGCGUUUUCGGAGCGGCCGAUAUCGGAUUAGCUAGUAGGUGAGGUAAAGGCUCACCUAGGCGACGAUCCGUAGCUGGUCUGAGAGGACGACCAGCCACACUGGAACUGAGACACGGUCCAGACUCCUACGGGAGGCAGCAGUGGGGAAUUUUGGACGAUGGGCGAAAGCCUGAUCCAGCCAUGCCGCGUGAGUGAAGAAGGCCUUCGGGUUGUAAAGCUCUUUCAGCCGGAAAGAAAACGCAUGGGUUAAUAACCUGUGUGGAUGACGGUACCGGAAGAAGAAGCACCGGCUAACUACGUGCCAGCAGCCGCGGUAAUACGUAGGGUGCGAGCGUUAAUCGGAAUUACUGGGCGUAAAGCGUGCGCAGGCGGUUUUGUAAGACAGAUGUGAAAUCCCCGGGCUUAACCUGGGAACUGCAUUUGUGACUGCAAGGCUAGAGUACGGCAGAGGGGGGUAGAAUUCCACGUGUAGCAGUGAAAUGCGUAGAUAUGUGGAGGAAUACCGAUGGCGAAGGCAGCCCCCUGGGUCGAUACUGACGCUCAUGCACGAAAGCGUGGGGAGCAAACAGGAUUAGAUACCCUGGUAGUCCACGCCCUAAACGAUGUCAACUAGGUGUUGGGGGAGGAGACUUCCUUAG
RNAcentral lists this ribosomal RNA (639 nucleotides) under uncultured bacterium. Its description in RNAcentral is "bacterial SSU rRNA". It matches the Rfam family "Bacterial small subunit ribosomal RNA", at positions 213 to 843 of the family's 1533-position model. The record is from RNAcentral.